GGAUGGGGCGGGAGGAGGGUAGGAGGACGCGGAGGAACCGGCGAGGAGGCCUUCUAGAACGGGCUCUUCAGGCCCAAAUCGCUCAGCAGCCUGUCUCCCAGGUGAGGGGAGAGCAGUCCCCUCCACAUCCCGCUGGCCAACAGAAGCACAUUCGAGUGGUGAGGGAAAGUCAACAUCGGUUACGUCUUGUUGAGGCAACUCUGGCACUGAAACAUUACUAGAGGCCAAGAGGGUUCCCAAGACACAGUCCGCCAAUGGGUCUGCAGACGAAGGGUCCUAAAUUUAGUCUUGAAAGAGAACAAAUAAAUACCUCCUCCGUCUUUGCCCUUUUCUCAUAUGCUGGUCCCCGCCCCCAUGGAACGGUUCACCUGACUCAGCAGGUAGAAAGUAGCUGUUUGGCCCCUCCUAAGGAAUGCAAUAGCCUCCUUCGCUGCCCCUUGUCUACGCCCCCUUACCUCUUUUUCAGAAGAGGCUAGUGGCUUGCGGCUUCCCUCUUAGGGUUAGCUACAAAGGCUGGGAAGAGAAUGGAUAGUAAGAUUCAACAGGUAACUUCUUCCUGCUGCCUGCAAGGUCACGCCCCUAAAUUAUAACCACGCCCCUUUCUGGAGACUGUCGGGGUGGUUCCGGACCAGCCCGGCCUCCAGUCAGAGUUCAGUCACUCCUUUCGCUCUGCAGAGAUCUCGCGGCUAUCCUGGGAGUUGUAGUUUGUCUUCAAAGCUACCAGGGCGUUGGGGCCACGCCCCCACAUCCUUUCCUGUUCCGUUGAAGUAGUGCCUGAUGGAAGU
Long non-coding RNA from Lagenorhynchus albirostris (white-beaked dolphin), 785 nucleotides. RefSeq lists it as uncharacterized. The record is from RefSeq and is a predicted model, not a curated record. Lineage: Eukaryota; Metazoa; Chordata; Mammalia; Artiodactyla; Delphinidae. The transcript has 3 exons.